This 501-nucleotide ribosomal RNA is filed under the name uncultured bacterium. Its description in RNAcentral is "partial 16S ribosomal RNA". It matches the Rfam family "Bacterial small subunit ribosomal RNA", at positions 30 to 523 of the family's 1533-position model. The record is from RNAcentral.
AUUGAACGCUGGCGGCAUGCCUUACACAUGCAAGUCGAACGGCAGCACGGGUGCUUGCACCUGGUGGCGAGUGGCGAACGGGUGAGUAAUACAUCGGAACGUACCUUAUCGUGGGGGAUAACGCAGCGAAAGUUGCGCUAAUACCGCAUACGCCCUGAGGGGGAAAGCGGGGGACCGUAAGGCCUCGCGCGAUUAGAGCGGCCGAUGUCUGAUCAGCUUGUUGGUGAGGUAAAAGCUCACCAAGGCGAUGAUCAGUAGCUGGUCUGAGAAGACGAUCAGCCACACUGGGACUGAGACACGGCCCAGACUCCUACGGGAGGCAGCAGUGGGGAAUUUUGGACAAUGGGGGCAACCCUGAUCCAGCAAUGCCGCGUGAGUGAAGAAGGCCUUCGGGUUGUAAAGCUCUUUUGUCAGGGAAGAAACAGCAGCUCUAACACAGUCUGCGAAUGACGGUACCUGAAGAAUAAGCACCGGCUAACUACGUGCCAGCAGCCGCAGUAA